CGAACGAACUCUGGUAUUGAUUGGUGCUUGCAUCAUGAUUUACAUUUGAGUGAGUGGCGAACUGGUGAGUAACACGUGGGAAACCUGCCCAGAAGCGGGGGAUAACACCUGGAAACAGAUGCUAAUACCGCAUAACAACUUGGACCGCAUGGUCCGAGCUUGAAAGAUGGCUUCGGCUAUCACUUUUGGAUGGUCCCGCGGCGUAUUAGCUAGAUGGUGGGGUAACGGCUCACCAUGGCAAUGAUACGUAGCCGACCUGAGAGGGUAAUCGGCCACAUUGGGACUGAGACACGGCCCAAACUCCUACGGGAGGCAGCAGUAGGGAAUCUUCCACAAUGGACGAAAGUCUGAUGGAGCAACGCCGCGUGAGUGAAGAAGGGUUUCGGCUCGUAAAACUCUGUUGUUAAAGAAGAACAUAUCUGAGAGUAACUGUUCAGGUAUUGACGGUAUUUAACCAGAAAGCCACGGCUAACUACGUGCCAGCAGCCGCGGUAAUACGUAGGUGGCAAGCGUUGUCCGGAUUUAUUGGGCGUAAAGCGAGCGCAGGCGGUUUUUUAAGUCUGAUGUGAAAGCCUUCGGCUCAACCGAAGAAGUGCAUCGGAAACUGGGAAACUUGAGUGCAGAAGAGGACAGUGGAACUCCAUGUGUAGCGGUGAAAUGCGUAGAUAUAUGGAAGAACACCAGUGGCGAAGGCGGCUGUCUGGUCUGUAACUGACGCUGAGGCUCGAAAGUAUGGGUAGCAAACAGGAUUAGAUACCCUGGUAGUCCAUACCGUAAACGAUGAAUGCUAAGUGUUGGAGGGUUUCCGCCCUUCAGUGCUGCAGCUAACGCAUUAAGCAUUCCGCCUGGGGAGUACGGCCGCAAGGCUGAAACUCAAAGGAAUUGACGGGGGCCCGCACAAGCGGUGGAGCAUGUGGUUUAAUUCGAAGCUACGCGAAGAACCUUACCAGGUCUUGACAUACUAUGCAAAUCUAAGAGAUUAGACGUUCCCUUCGGGGACAUGGAUACAGGUGGUGCAUGGUUGUCGUCAGCUCGUGUCGUGAGAUGUUGGGUUAAGUCCCGCAACGAGCGCAACCCUUAUUAUCAGUUGCCAGCAUUAAGUUGGGCACUCUGGUGAGACUGCCGGUGACAAACCGGAGGAAGGUGGGGAUGACGUCAAAUCAUCAUGCCCCUUAUGACCUGGGCUACACACGUGCUACAAUGGAUGGUACAACGAGUUGCGAACUCGCGAGAGUAAGCUAAUCUCUUAAAGCCAUUCUCAGUUCGGAUUGUAGGCUGCAACUCGCCUACAUGAAGUCGGAAUCGCUAGUAAUCGCGGAUCAGCAUGCCGCGGUGAAUACGUUCCCGGGCCUUGUACACACCGCCCGUCACACCAUGAGAGUUUGUAACACCCAAAGUCGGUGGGGUAACC
This 1411-nucleotide ribosomal RNA is filed under the name Lactiplantibacillus plantarum. Its description in RNAcentral is "bacterial SSU rRNA". It matches the Rfam family "Bacterial small subunit ribosomal RNA", at positions 63 to 1440 of the family's 1533-position model. Lineage: Bacteria; Bacillati; Bacillota; Bacilli; Lactobacillales; Lactobacillaceae. The record is from RNAcentral.